AAUUGGGAAGAUUGUGUUAGGCUUUACUUUUCUUUGUCAAGAUUAUCAUUUGUUUGGUAUUAUAGACUAGUUUAUUAUUAUUAUUAUUAUUAUUAUUAUUAUUUAUGAAAUGGGAGGUGGGGGAACCUCAAGAACAAUUAUAGACUAGCUUAUUUUAUUAAUUUCUACCUUUGAAUAUUUGCUUUUAUUUAUGUUGGUUGUCAUCCAUGGGAAUGCACUGUUGUAACCUUGAAUGUUGUCAUUCCCAUUUUCGUCCUUGAAGGAAACGCAUUCUCUUUUUUUUUUUUUUUCUUUUUUAUUUAAUUUUUUUUAAGAAGGAGAAUUCAUUCAUAAAAUCACAGACGUACAAAGAGCGACAUGAUACAGUGGCCUCGUUAAAACCUUCCUAGGACAACCACAUGGGACAAACGCCAGGGGAGGAAAGAGUAUCACACAUGUCAUAGACUAACAAGAUAGUCCAAUUUAGGUCACUUUGGACCAUCACAAUAAAAGAACAAGUCAAAAACAAAAACUAACACAAAGACCUCCGACGAGAACCGCAACUAGAGACCAACACAGUAUACCCACAUGAGAGGACCACAGAAAUCCCAAAUAGUAAACCCACAUAAGAGGACUGCAGAACAUCCAAAUUGUUAAAAGAAGCCUUCUAUGAGCAAAAUCAUAGUCCUUUGACACCCAUACAAAUUAUAAAGCAUAUCAUAGCAGAAACCAGGAGAGAACACGGAUAAGGAACAUAGAAACAAUAGUAAAAUGUCCCUUGAUAAGCACUCCACUUCAACUUAUAACCUGACAAAGAAAACAUCCUAUGACCAAGCAUAGUUCUUCGGUCAGCGUAGAGUAAAGAAGAGCACCACAUUUCAACAACUACCACCAGCGUCGCUGCUACCACCACCGUUAAAACUUUGACAAAACAUCAGCCACCAGGUAUCACAACUCUCCCAAAGAGAGAGACACAAUCCAGCGUCAAUACUGUCGUCGCCGCAGAGACAAAGACAACAACAGUCACCUGGAACACUGCAAAAAUAACCAAACAAAACAAACAGAUAAACAGACCUAGAUCUAAACAGAUCUAGACUAUCUGGGGAGGGGAAGGGGAGAAGAAGAGAGGAUAAGAGGAAGGGAAAAUAUGGGAGAAAAAGAAGGGGAGAUAAGGGGAGGAAGGGGAAGAUAGGCAGAGGGGAGGAGGUGUAGUGGCCACCUCCCCGCCUUAGCUUCCUUGCGGGUUGUUGUCAACAAGGAGAAAUGGGACCAGAGUGUGGCUAGGGUUUGAUUACUUAUCUUAUGUAUAGGAAAUGCAUUCUUCUAACCCCAUAAAAUGACACAUCAAUAUCAAGCCACAACUUGGGAGCAAACACCUUUUUGUCAAGGUCGGCUGCUGUACUUGUGGAUAAU
This 1392-nucleotide long non-coding RNA is filed under the name Prunus persica (peach). Its description in RNAcentral is "long non-coding RNA (PPER_LNC006421)". Lineage: Eukaryota; Viridiplantae; Streptophyta; Magnoliopsida; Rosales; Rosaceae. The record is from RNAcentral.